UGAUUACUGGUACUCUGCUCAAUUCUUCCUUUUUACUCAGCCAAGGACCUCAGCCACGGGAUGGUGCUGUCUCCAACUAGGAUGGGUUUUCCCACCUCAGUUAAUUCCCUAACAGACACACCCAAAGUCUGUCUGCUGUGUGACUUGAGAGUCUGUCAGUCAUUUCUUGAACCAUUGGCUAAUUCUGUAAUUCUUUCCUGUUUCAAAGUCACAAAUCCUAGCUUGCAUAAUACAGUUCCUAAAAGAAUACAAAGUCUCCUGCUGAGGACACCAAGCAGAACUGAGCAUCUGUCCAUGUCACAGCCAACAGAAUGAAUAGAACUGCCUAGAUGCUCUUGUGACCCCGUGGGCAAUACAGGGACCACUAUCACAAAGGCCAUGGUGACUGCCACCAACUAAGUGAGAGAGUGUCCUUAGUCUCUGACCUAGAUGCCUGCUCACGCCUUUCCGAAGAGUCCAUGGUGCUGAGACAGGCUAACUUUCAAGCUCACAAGUGGAUAAAAUUUCAAGUGUGUGUUUCUUGGUCCUACUGAUAACAGACUCUGCUAGUUAAGUCACCCACAGAACCGAAACCCAGCAUUGGCAAUGCAUGCUUCUCAGGUGAACAAUUUCAGGGGGAUCCUAUCAUUCCAAUGACUCUGUCCCAGGAGUGUAUUAGAUACACAGAAGAAUGAAAAAAACAAAAAAAAAAACCAUGAUCCUUUUAGCCUGUUCCCUGCUAAGAUGAUAAAUCGAAAAGGCAACUGGAACCAAAUUGUGUCUUUGGUUAUUCCACAGAUGAGAAAUAGUCCUUAUUCUAUGUAAUAGGUUUUAAGUCAAAACACACCAGAACUAAAGUAGCACAUUUAGCCAGAUACUAAAGAUACCUACAUGAUACAAUCCCAUCCUAACAAAGAGAGGUUUGCAUAUCACACUACAGGGAGGAUGCAAAGAAUUUACAGUCUUCAUUCCAGACAGAUGGAACAGAUCUUUAAAAUAUGAAAAUAAGCUUCUGUUUUUCAUUCCUCAAUAUCGACAUGCAAAACACACACACAAAAAAAAACUUAAUGAAAAUUUAAAGGUCAUUUUUCUUUCCACUUAUUUCUAUUUGAUCUGUUGAGACAUUUUAAACAUUGUGCAAAAUAUUUGACUAUAAUUGAUUUGGUUUAAAGGUUACUGUCAGGUGUUACAUUUUAAAUGUAAAUUUGUAUAAUCAGAAUGGUAAUUCUCCACCAACAUUGCUAUUUAUAUAGACUUUUUAAUCCAUCACUCUCUAGAACCUUACUUUUUACAUUGUGUGUUAUAUGUGUGCUCGUGUAUGUGCACAGAUACCUCUCUCUCUCUCUCUCUCUCUCUCUCUCUCUCUCUCUGUGUGUGUGUGUGUGUGUGUGUGUGUGUGUGUGUGUGUGUGUGUGAGCACACACUCGAGUGCUUGUGGAGGCCACAACCUGAAAUGGUUCUUUUUGAGAUAGAGCCUCUCACUUGCCUGGAAUUCCAUCACACUUCACUGGCUGGUCAUGGGCCAGGGUCUACCUUUCUCUGCUUCCUUGGUGUGGGGAUCACAAACUCACAGUACCAGGCCAGUUCGUCCUUCCUUCCUUCCUUCCUUCCUUCCUUCCUUCCUUCCUUCCUUCCUUCCCUUCCCUUCCCUUCCUUCUUUUCUUCUUCUUUUUUUUUAUGUGAUUUAUGGAAAUAAACCAGGCCCUCACACUUCAAAGUCAAGUAUUUUAUUGACUGGACUAUGUCCUAGCCCUAACUCCUAAGUUUUCACUUUAAAAUGUAUUUAUUUUUAAGUGUAUGUGUAUUUGUGUGGGGGUGUGCUAGAAGAGGAGACUGGAUUCCCUGGAGCUGGAGUCACCAGUGUUGUGAGCUACCUGGGGUGGAUACUGACAACCAAACUCAGGCCCUCUGUCAGAGCAUCAGGUGCUCUUAAUCACUGAGCCAUCUCCCCAGCUCCAGUUUUCACUUUUAAAAAUAUUUUCUUGAUGCCAUUCCAAGAUUUUCAAACACAAAUACUCCAACAGAAUUUUAAAUCAUAUCUUAGUCAUGCUGGGAAGAAUUCAGCCCAGCAGGAAAAUCUGUAAAAACCACAGAGGUAUGUAGGGGAAAUGUUAGCCACACCCUCUUGGGGGCUGGCACAGAUGACACAGACCAUGCACACUUGGGCAUGGUCAGAGUGACGUAGCAUGACCUUAAAUAUGAGGGUGGCUCUCUCUGUUCCCUGACCUGCCUUGUGGUACAAGACUGACUCUGUGGCAGCUACUUGGAGAUGCUGGAAAAUGUCUAGGGCAGCAAACAAGGCUAGUCCUGGAAAGAACCAGCACAUGGAGAUCCGGAUGUAGAACUCUCAGCUACUCCUCCAACACCAAGUGUGCCUGCCACCAUGGUCCCCAGUGUGGUGACAUGACAAUGGACUAAACCUCUAAAACCUACAGCAAGCCCCAGUUAAAUGCUUUCUUUUUAUAAGAGUUGCAGUGGUCGUGGUGUCUCUUCACAGCAAUAGAAGAGUGACUAAGAUAUUAGUGAUGGCUGGGAGUCACCAGCAUGCUAGAGCUAGAGCUAAGGAGCAGGAGAGUUACUCAAACAUAUGGAAGGCUUCCUGGCCACAGCUUCAUGGAUGACAGCCAACUCACCAGCCUGCGGUGACUCAGCAUACAGAGAGCCAAACAAUGAAGCCUGUGACCUCCUCUUCCUUCCACCAGUCUCCUGUCCAUGCCUCAGCAACCAAACCCAUCCAGUGGCAAAGGACAAGGAAGUUCCUGCUGUGGUCCAUGGGGUGAGUCAGCUUCUCAUAGAGAGAGGAAGAAAGACAGACGAAGAACUUGUCUAAAUUGCAGCCAUUCAGGCUGCACAUGAGGAAGGGGUAGUCUCAAUUUUGCAAAUUUCUUUAAGAGACAUUUUCUGUUGCUGAAAGAAAUCAAGGGCUCCCUAUGAGAAGUGAGGCGAGCUGGAAGUCGUCUAGAAUCUGAGCUGCCAUGCUGGAGACAACCAGAGGUUAUUUAGUGAGUCAUUCUUGUAUGAUGAGAAUAUUUUAAAAAUAACUCUCAGGGGAAAAAUGUAUUAUGAAUGUAUAUGCAGAACUCCUGCCUCAAUUUUUGCUAGUAAAACCCCAACUUACUGAAGGGACCAGCUCCCCUUUCGGCAGUCAUAAUGGCCAAACACAUGCUUGUCUGACCUUGUCCUAGACACUAGAAAGUCAGAUGCCUGCCUCGUGACAAGGAACCAAUCAGAAGUUAGCUGGUGGCGCUAUGCUUUACCACCCUGGGUAUACUUUACGGACAAGCACACAACAAUGACGCGGAGCAUAGCAACCACCCUGGGAGGGCCUAUGGGCCAUAACAACCAGUUGGCCAAUCAACACAGGGCAAACCCUCCAAGCCUGGAGGCACACCAAUAGUGAGCCUGAGCGUACCCCUAGACACUCCCCUUACGCUGCCCUACAAGAUCUCUUGGGAGGCCCUAGGUCUUGUCUUUGCUAGCCAUCCACCACGGUGGGUGGGUGAAAGACCCGAGCUAACAUGGGGUUAGCUCGUUAAAAAAACAAUAAAGCCUCGUGCAGUUUGCAGCAAGCUCUCGAAUCUGCCUGGUGAUUGGGGUGACCUCGGUCGUGGCCUGGGACCCCGGAUACCUGAGUUUUCCGGGGGUCUAACAUUACAAGAUGGGAAAUGGCAGCUUGAGAAGGAUGGGUGUCAGACAAGUUUUGCCAUUUUUCUUAGAAACUAUCCAGAGGGAAUAAGCACACUGAGAAACAAACAGACGAGCAAACGCCACUUUUGGCAUCACAAGGUGAAACUCAAACCACACAAACUGCAGAGGGAGUGGGUCCCAGUGGACAGGCGGGCUGCAAGAGGUAAGAGGUGUGUUCACAGUCCCUGGUUGCAGAUCAGGCUGAGGGACAUUCCAUGGUAAAGAUCGUGGAGGAGAGAUGGCAAGCCAAGUCUAAGUCAGAGGGAGGCCGACAUGCAGAGAGACUGGAGGCAGAAGGAAUGUGGGCAGGGCUAAACAAAAUUUGGUGAAUCACACACAUUUGUAGGUUGGUCUCAGUCUGCCAGCAAGAAAACCAUUGAGUAGCCUAGAAUUUGGCUUUAGAUGGUACAAACUAAGGUAGAUCACCACCUAAACCCUGACUUGUGCGAGAGAGGGAGAGAACAGAGGAGACAGGGGAGGACAGGGACACAGUGGAAUUUUCAAAGGUGUGACCCCAGUGACCUACCUCCUCCACCUAGUCCCCACUUCCUAAUUUGUCUCUCUCCUAGCACUGCCACCAAGUUAUGAGUCCACCAUUAGGGUCAUUCAUGCCGUAGGUGAGAAUCUCAUGACAUAGUGGCCUCCCUCAAGUUCUUCCCUGAGUACUGUAGCCUUCAACAUGUGAACGUUGUAGGCUAAUCAUAAUACACACACGCGCAUGCACACACACACACACACACACACACACACACACACACACACACACACUUCUGACCUAACUACACCUGUGCCUUGUUGCUAAAACAUCUGGCAAAGUACAAUAGUAAUAAAGUGAGUGACAGAAGGUGGACGGGACAGGGAACUCAAAGGUUGAAGAGACACCAGUGUGGAGUAAUGAGACUCGUUUUUUUUUGUUGUUGUUGUUUUUCUUCCUCUUAAUUACCUGCUGGCUUUGAUCUGAAGGCUGGCUGAAAGGGGAACAACCAGAAACAAUCAGAAAACAAGUUGGAGAAACCUUAGCAUCCAACCACAAGGCUGCUGGGAGCAAGAUCAUGAGUUGUGAACUACUCAUGGUUUUCCUUUCCGAGAUUAGCCUGGUCAAGAAGCUGACAUCUAAGACAGGGAGGAAAAACAACAACAACAAAAAAAAAAAAACAAAAAAAACAACUGUCCUUCUGGAGCUGUGGUUCUCAACCUUCCUAAAGCUUCGACCCUUUAAUGCAGUUCCUCACAUGGUGACCCACAGGCUCUAACAGGCUGGAGCACGGCAAACAUGGCACCGAUGGGUUUUGCCUUUUUCUCCCUUUCCCUCUUCCUUGCUAAAAACUGUAAGAUUACAUUUCUAAAGUUAGUCCCCACAGCACACUCCCUUAUUUGGUCAUUAACUCAUUCCUGAGACUAAACGCCAAGAUCCAAGACUCAAAAUUCAUUAUUUGGCUAACAUGUCCAAUCAGGACUUACCAGCUCACCCUAGCACAGAUCCCCUUUCUCCUUAAAAAUCCACUCCUGCAAAAAUCACCUGCUUGCUGGUGUUGCUUGUGUCUGCCUUGGUGCCCCCACCUCCCCCACCCCUGCCCCAGUCAUGUGUGCACUUGCCCCUUAAGGGUGAUAGAAUUUGGUGUCUGAGUGUGUCCUGUACUGACUCUGAGGGGAAACACUCCCUUGCUUAUUCUUAUUACUAUGUCAUAACUGUAAUUUUGCUACUUUAUUAAUCAUAAUGUAAUAUCUGUGUUUUCUGUGGUCUUAGGCCAUCCCUGUGAAAUAGUCCUUUGACCCUCAAAGGGUUUGCGACCCACAGGUUGAGAGCCACUGUUCUAGAGAGAGCCCCUGGGGAGUGGGGCUCCUGGGAGCAGCAGAGAAUGGCGCUUUGAAAGGCAUGUUGAAGGGGCCUAAUUCUGGGUGGUUUGUUAUGUAGCAAAGGAUACUUAAUACAGGGGUUCAUGCCUGUCCUAGCCUGCUUCAAUAAAACACGGACCAAGAACAACUUGGGAAGGAAAGGAUUUAUUUGGCUGGAGACAGGACCUGAAGCAGAGAGCAUAGAACACUGCUUACUGGCUUGCUCAGUUUGCUUUCUAAAACUGCACGGUACGACCCGUAGUGGGCUGGGCCCUCUCACAUCAUCAAGAAAAUGCCCAGACAAGCCUAUAGGCCUAUGUGGUGGAGGCCAUUCUUUAAUGCUCCUUCUUCCCAGGGAACUGCAGCUUGUGUUGGGCUCUCAAAAACUUUUCCUUAGCAGGCACAAGGUCUUGGACUGAAUCUCCAGUGUAAGGAUCAUCUGAGCAAAAAGGAUUUUAAAAAAUUCCAUUCAAACGAUGUUUUUUGAAUACUUCCAAUAAAAUACCAAAAGAUGAACUUAUGUACAAGGAUGAAUAUAAGUUCAGGGGGUGAGUAAAACAGGAACCCUGCAACUAUAAUCCCACAAGUCUACUGAAUCAUUAAUUGGCUCUAAUAAAGUUCGUGAACGAUUUGCCUUGGUUUUCAGAGAGGAGAGAACUUCAGGACCCCGCUGAGACACAGCCAAGAACUGUUCCUUAAGGCAGGGAGGGGGCUGGGAGAAACAGCCUCCAACCCGGCAUACCUCCAGGGGUGGGGCUGGAGGCCUUGUCCCCUCUGCGGCUGCCAGAAGC
This 6293-nucleotide long non-coding RNA is filed under the name Cricetulus griseus (Chinese hamster). RNAcentral describes it as "lncRNA (ENSCGRG00015036793.1)". Lineage: Eukaryota; Metazoa; Chordata; Mammalia; Rodentia; Cricetidae. The record is from RNAcentral.